Molecule: non-coding RNA, 20 nt
Filed under: Arabidopsis thaliana (thale cress)
Lineage: Eukaryota; Viridiplantae; Streptophyta; Magnoliopsida; Brassicales; Brassicaceae
Source: RNAcentral
UUGCAGGGGAGUCAAUGCCA